RNAcentral lists this long non-coding RNA (2323 nucleotides) under Apteryx owenii (little spotted kiwi). RNAcentral describes it as "lncRNA (ENSAOWG00000012380.1)". The record is from RNAcentral. Lineage: Eukaryota; Metazoa; Chordata; Aves; Apterygiformes; Apterygidae.
UUAAAUUUUUGUAAAUAGAACAUAAUAUCUGUGUAUUAUGAUCAUUGCUUGUGUAUAUACUAUACAUUAUCUCCAUAUGUAUUGGAACAACUGCUUAGAAUAAAUACUGUAUAAACUGGUCCUUCAUACCUGCAUUGGUCAUUUGUAUAGCAUUGAUAAAUUUGGUUAGCAGUUCUCAGGCAGAAUGUUGGGCUUCUUUCAGGCUGGCAUUCUUGGUUAUUUGCAUGAAGGUAGGUAUGAUAAAGAAGAAAUUGUGUUUGGAUUUUUGCCUCAUUAAGAUGUCAAAAGGGGACAUUUUUAUUUAUACAAAUUGGAAGAGUUGGUUAUAUCUAGUUUGCUUCUGGCAUGGAUCAUUUAAAUCAACAUAUUAACACAGUACUACAAUUCAUAAUUAAGAGUUUGUAAUGUAAAUAUGAAUUUAAAUAAAAUAACUGAAGUUUUUUGUUACCUGUUAUCCUUAUGGUGACUCAUGGACACAUUUUAAGAAAUUUGUGGUCAGUUUUAUGGCUAUAGAGCUAAUCUGUAUAUUUUUUCUGUUUAAUACAUUUACAGCUUCUUUAUGGAAGCAUAAGUAGCUUCAAUUAUUUAAUAUUUAGACUUCUUGCCUAGUCAGACUAUGAAGCCACUGUAAUGUUAAUAUUGGAUCCUUCCCUCUGUUCCUCAAGGCAUGCUCCCAAGACAUGAACUCUUGUUUUUGAUUAGUAAGUAACAUCUUUGUAGCCUGGUGUUUUUUAACACUUUACUUUGAACAAGGGUCUGUCUGGAAAAAUUCUCAUCUUCAUGCUUUUUUUCUUUUAACAGUACUAUAAAUAAUUGUAUAUGUGCUUUGAGGAAUUGUCAGAAAUUUAAAAGAAGGAAUCUUCUUUUGAUUACCUUUUGUUGUCCCUGGUGCUACAUCUUGCUGAUCAAUAAACACUGGUUUUAUACAGUGUUGCAUGACAAGGAAAGAGGAAGAAAAAAAACAUGUAUUCUUCUGUCAUUGCAGCAGAGGAGAGUUAUGCAGCCACAGAUGCUCUUUUCCUUAACUGCUGUUCAGAUUCGAUGCUGGUUUCCAUUGUUGGAAUGGCACUGUACACAGGCUAUGUGUUCAUGCCUCAGCACAUCAUGGCAAUACUGCACUAUUUUGAAAUUGUGCAGUGAUGAAGAACAUAUUUUCAAGAAGUAAUCAUGAUUGGAGAAUCGUCCUACAAAGAAGAAUGAACCUCUUAGUUUUAACAAGAUUUCUACAGAUGUCAAAAAGAGAAAGACAUAAUUAUGACUCUGAAGACUAAGAAACCAGAUAUGUAGAGAUGGGACGUGAGAUGUCCCCUAUGUUGUGUUUGUUCUUUUUAAUUUUACAAGAUGCCCUUGUAUAGUAGUUUUGUCUAUUUUAACAUUGUGAUUGUACUUUGAUAUCAGUAUUUUCUUAACUUUGUGAUAGUUUCAAUAUUGCACUGUGAAAGCUUUUCUUAAUUGUAAUUUUGAGUAAAUCUUAAUUGCCUUCUAUUUUUAAUCGGAAAGUCAUCUUAUUAAAUGGGGCUUAAAGCUUUUGCUAUUGUAUGGUAUGUAUUUGCCUGGAUAUUUCUAUUAAUGCAUUUUGUAAGAAAAUACAUCUAGAUUCAUAUUAGAGACAUAGAAAUAUUCAUCUAACAUUAUUUACAAAAAUUAGUUUGUAUGACUGAACUCAGGUGUACUGUUUGCUGUCCAGGCUUUGUUCAACAGUAUAUUUGUGCAUAUCAACUGAAUUUGGAAUUAGCAAUUAUUUUAAGUUUCUGUAUUCCAUCUAUUGGAGGAGGGUGGGAAAGAGAAAUAAUGAAGGCAGUCGUCACUCUGUCUCAGCUCUGUUUGGAGUAAGGCUGUGGUUGUGGUGUGUAUGCAGUGGGAACAAAAGGACGUCUCUUUACUGCCAUAGGCCCACAUAAAACUUUGGGAUAGCACUUCAGCACUGUUUUUCUAGCUACCAACUAAAUUAUACUUUUACAUAAUGCUUGAUUAUGUUCUAAUUGUGGUGGAGAGGAGGUUUCUGCUUCUUUUCACUCAACAGUGUAACUAUGUUUAGGUUUCAAAGGGUUUUUCUAUUGCCGCUAGUUUCCAAACCUGUUCUCGAUACGAAAAUACAAACGACCAAAACAUAGGGUUUUAAAGGGACUUGAGUUACAACUACAGCAAUAAGGAGCUGAGUACUUGGCUGAAGUCCUGUCUUUGUGUGGUGGGUUUUUUUUUUUUAUAGGACUUUUUUCAGAUUUGUAUUCUGAAAUGUAAGCUGGGAACAAUCUAACUUUCUUAAGUGGAGGAUUUUUUUGUUUAAAAAAAAAUAAAAGUUUAAAAGCAGAGCUUUGAUGCA